AACGAACGCUGGCGGCAUGCCUAACACAUGCAAGUCGAACGUGAUCCGGUUCCUUCGGGGGCGGUGAAAGUGGCAGACGGGUGAGUAACGCGUGGGAACCUGCCCAAUGGUAGGGAAUAACCGCGGGAAACUGCGGCUAAUACCCUAUGAGCCCUUUGGGGCAAAGAUUUAUCGCCAUUGGAGGGGCCCGCGUCGGAUUAGGUAGUUGGUAGGGUAACGGCCUACCAAGCCGUCGAUCCGUAGCUGGUCUGAGAGGAUGAUCAGCCACACUGGGACUGAGAUACGGCCCAGACUCCUACGGGAGGCAGCAGUGGGAAUAUUGGACAAUGGGGGCAACCCUGAUCCAGCCAUGCCGCGUGCGGGAAGAAGGCC
This 372-nucleotide ribosomal RNA is filed under the name uncultured bacterium. RNAcentral describes it as "bacterial SSU rRNA". It matches the Rfam family "Bacterial small subunit ribosomal RNA", at positions 29 to 416 of the family's 1533-position model. The record is from RNAcentral.